This is a long non-coding RNA of Chelonoidis abingdonii (Abingdon island giant tortoise), 614 nucleotides long. RefSeq lists it as uncharacterized. The record is from RefSeq and is a predicted model, not a curated record. Lineage: Eukaryota; Metazoa; Chordata; Testudines; Testudinidae.
AUAGCUAUGGGGCACAGUGGGAGUACUGCUACAAGAGCUCAAGGACGUAGCUGAGAAGCCUGCUGCUCCACUUGGUACUGGAGAUCAAGCCCUCUCUCUAAAGAACUCUGGCAUACAGGAUAGAUUGUUGUUGAUCAGAAAAAAUGCCUGCUCUUUUUUGCAGCUCAGUUCCUUGUUUCCUUAGUAACUCUUGGUAAAAGUAAAUGCACCUGAGUGUAGUUUUAACAACGUGAAAUUUCUACAUACAUUGCCCAAUCCAAUUCCACCCACUCUCAGCAUCUCCCUCAUCUUCCACGAUAGACCUGCCAUUACAUGCUAUACGUACGAUCACUAGCAGAGUGGGUGCAAUCAGAGACUGAGAAGCAUGUUAACAAAAGUCCUGGCGAAGAACAAAAAUAACCCCCUGCCAGUCACCAUAGCAAAUGUUGCUCCCAAGAGAUAGGAAAAAAUUAUAUACUGAGAUCAUGAUAGAGAAUGGAGAGUGAAGGGAAAGCUCCCCUUGUUCUGGAGAAAUACAGACUCAUUGUGAUAACUGCAGAGAGACUAGGUGGGAAAGGUCUUCAAAAUCAUUCUCAUGGAAUGGGGAAAGCAUCCUGCUUCACUCUAACACAGGU